AAGACUAUACUUUCAGGGAUCAUUUCUAUAGUUUGUUACUAGAGAAGCUUCUUUGAACGUGUAGAGCACCCAUAGACCACGAGAAGGUGUCGUGUUCUUUUCUGAGCCUGAAGUUGGUUCUUGGUGUUGCUUAGGGUGACUGCUAUUUGCCAUUGAUGACUGUUCUUCUUUUCUUUUGGAAGAGUAAGAGGGAGAGGACACUAUCUGAGUGGU
Camelus dromedarius (Arabian camel) is the source of this 213-nucleotide small nucleolar RNA. Its record names the gene U3. It matches the Rfam family "Small nucleolar RNA U3". Rfam says of the family: Small nucleolar RNAs (snoRNAs) are involved in the processing and modification of rRNA in the nucleolus. The record is from Ensembl. Lineage: Eukaryota; Metazoa; Chordata; Mammalia; Artiodactyla; Camelidae.